GGGGCAGCUGGCCUUACCGAUGUCGGAGGCUCUGUGCGCCGGGUGUUCUAGUGUCCACGACCCCUCUGUCCCAACCUGUGCUGAGCUAUGAGGCCUUUGGGGGACAGACCCCAGCGGGCAGCUCCUUCCCGCUCUUCCUUCCCUGCACCCGUCUCCCUGGCUUCUAAGUCCUGUCCACCCUCCUCUGGCCUGCUGUGUCCUGGCUCCCACGCCUGCUGGCUUCAGACAUCACUCUUUCUAGCUGACCAUCUUCCUGCAUUUCCUGGUCUUUCCGUGGCGUCUGUUCCAACGUCAGUGCUUCCUGCCUCCAGCCGGGGAAGUGACCUGCUGAACACAGAAGCACUGGAAGAAGCGUGUGCACAGGCCCCUGAACUCAGGAGGGAAACAGGCAUCAGAGACACAUAGCAGCAUCGACCUGGCCAUACCCAGAGACCAGGUACUUCCUCCUUUUUGCCCAUACCCCAGAGCUGCCCCCCCCUCCCCUUGUGGCCAGGGAGGCCCACUCUUGGCGCACAGGUG
This 519-nucleotide long non-coding RNA is filed under the name Homo sapiens (human). Its description in RNAcentral is "HSALNT0157094". The record is from RNAcentral. Lineage: Eukaryota; Metazoa; Chordata; Mammalia; Primates; Hominidae.